RNAcentral lists this ribosomal RNA (406 nucleotides) under uncultured bacterium. Its description in RNAcentral is "bacterial SSU rRNA". It matches the Rfam family "Bacterial small subunit ribosomal RNA", at positions 355 to 776 of the family's 1533-position model. The record is from RNAcentral.
UUGGGAAUCUUGCGCAAUGGGCGAAAGCCUGACGCAGCGACGCCGCGUGCGGGAUGACGAGCUUCGGCUUGUAAACCGCUUUUCUCGGGGACGACACUCUGACGGUACCCGAGGAAUCAGCCCCGGCUAACUCCGUGCCAGCAGCCGCGGUAAGACGGAGGGGGCGAGCGUUGUCCGGAAUUACUGGGCGUAAAGGGCGCGUAGGCGGUCGCGUACGGCGGUGGUGAAAGCUCCCGGCUCAACUGGGAGAGGUCCGCCGCAACGGCGUGACUCGAGGGUGGUAGAGGCGGAUGGAAUUCCCGGUGUAACGGUGAAAUGUGUAGAGAUCGGGAGGAACACCCGUGGCGAAGGCGGUCCGCUGGGCCAUGCCUGACGCUGAGGCGCGAAAGCCAGGGGAGCGAACGGG